UGGCUUUGUUCUGAGGACCUACCAAGAUA
RNAcentral lists this non-coding RNA (29 nucleotides) under Mus musculus (house mouse). The record is from RNAcentral. Lineage: Eukaryota; Metazoa; Chordata; Mammalia; Rodentia; Muridae.